UGGGGGGGGGCACAAGGGGGGACUGGGGGGAAUCCCCACCCAGUCCCCCCUUGUGCCCCCCGCCUCCCCCACGAAA
Paramuricea clavata is the source of this 76-nucleotide non-coding RNA. Lineage: Eukaryota; Metazoa; Cnidaria; Anthozoa; Malacalcyonacea; Plexauridae. The record is from the annotation of a GenBank genome assembly.